ACAUGCCUACAACAUAGUGUUAAUGCACCAGAUCCCAUUAGAACUUCACAGUUAAGCGUGCUCAGGAUGGAGUAGUACUGGGAUGGGUGACUGCCUGAAAAGUCCUAGUAUUUUACAUGCC
Molecule: non-coding RNA, 121 nt
Organism: Picea glauca (white spruce)
Lineage: Eukaryota; Viridiplantae; Streptophyta; Pinopsida; Pinales; Pinaceae
Source: Rfam